This 542-nucleotide ribosomal RNA is filed under the name uncultured bacterium. Its description in RNAcentral is "bacterial SSU rRNA". It matches the Rfam family "Bacterial small subunit ribosomal RNA", at positions 964 to 1507 of the family's 1533-position model. The record is from RNAcentral.
AAGAACCUUACCAGGUCUUGACAUCCCUCUGACCGCUCUAGAGAUAGAGUUUUCCUUCGGGACAGAGGUGACAGGUGGUGCAUGGUUGUCGUCAGCUCGUGUCGUGAGAUGUUGGGUUAAGUCCCGCAACGAGCGCAACCCCUAUUGUUAGUUGCCAUCAUUUAGUUGGGCACUCUAGCGAGACUGCCGGUAAUAAACCGGAGGAAGGUGGGGAUGACGUCAAAUCAUCAUGCCCCUUAUGACCUGGGCUACACACGUGCUACAAUGGCUGGUACAACGAGUCGCAAGUCGGUGACGACAAGCUAAUCUCUUAAAGCCAGUCUCAGUUCGGAUUGUAGGCUGCAACUCGCCUACAUGAAGUCGGAAUCGCUAGUAAUCGCGGAUCAGCACGCCGCGGUGAAUACGUUCCCGGGCCUUGUACACACCGCCCGUCACACCACGAGAGUUUGUAACACCCGAAGUCGGUGAGGUAACCGUAAGGAGCCAGCCGCCUAAGGUGGGAUAGAUGAUUGGGGUGAAGUCGUAACAAGGUAACCGUACCU